UACGGGGGGGGCAAGCGUUGUUCGGAAUUACUGGGCGUAAAGGGCUCGUAGGCGGCCAACUAAGUCAGACGUGAAAUCCCUCGGCUUAACCGGGGAACUGCGUCUGAUACUGGAUGGCUUGAGUCCGGGAGAGGGAUGCGGAAUUCCAGGUGUAGCGGUGAAAUGCGUAGAUAUCUGGAGGAACACCGGUGGCGAAGGCGGCAUCCUGGACCGGCACUGACGCUGAUGAGCGAAAGCCAGGGGAGCAAACGGGG
This 254-nucleotide ribosomal RNA is filed under the name uncultured bacterium. RNAcentral's name for it is "partial 16S ribosomal RNA". It matches the Rfam family "Bacterial small subunit ribosomal RNA", at positions 524 to 777 of the family's 1533-position model. The record is from RNAcentral.